UACGUUCCCGGACCUUGUACACACCGCCCGUCAAGCGAUGGAAGCCGGGAGGACCUGAAGACAGUUGCUGUAAGGCGCUGUUUAGGGUAAAACCGGUGACUGGCNCU
This 107-nucleotide ribosomal RNA is filed under the name uncultured bacterium. RNAcentral describes it as "partial 16S ribosomal RNA". It matches the Rfam family "Bacterial small subunit ribosomal RNA", at positions 1367 to 1482 of the family's 1533-position model. The record is from RNAcentral.